UUCAGAACGUCGUGAGACAGUUCGGUCCCUAUCUGCCGUGGGUGUAGGAGGUUUGAGAGGCUUUGUCCCUAGUACGAGAGGACCGGGAUGAACGUACCUCUGGUGGAGCUGUUGUCGCGCCAGCGGCAGUGCAGCAUAGCUAUGUACGGACGGGAUAACCGCUGAAGGCAUCUAAGCGGGAAACCCCCCUUAAAACGAGACCUCCCUUGAGGGCCGUGGAAGACGACCACGUCGAUAGGCCGGGGGUGCAAGCGCGGCGACGCGUUGAGCCGACCGGUACUAAUCGCCCGAUUGGC
Molecule: ribosomal RNA, 296 nt
Filed under: Escherichia coli
Lineage: Bacteria; Pseudomonadati; Pseudomonadota; Gammaproteobacteria; Enterobacterales; Enterobacteriaceae
Description: partial 23S ribosomal RNA
Rfam family: Bacterial large subunit ribosomal RNA
Source: RNAcentral